UUUGACAUCAGUGGUAAAUCUGGAUGACUAAUGAAAUCCAUGUAAUAUUUUUUUGAAGUACAUCCCUUGAUGAUGGUAGGAAUUGUGAUUCUGAUGUUACAAUGUGUUCGUUUGUUUUUCAUGUUGGGGUGGGAGUGAGAUUACAGAAACUUAGCAAUCAAUAAAAAUCAUUCCAUGGUAAGUUAUUGGGCGGUGUGAAUGUUAGGUUUUACACCGAUGUAAAUCGAUCAUUUCCCUAUUUAUAGAAUGAAAAGUAAUGUUUUGUUUUAUAAUAUGUUAUGUGUUGUCUUAACCAAAUUUGCAUUUUUAACUAGUUCAUCAUUUCUGUAUUUCUUUUCUAAAAUGAUAAUCUUGAAUUUACUUGGCAGGAGAAACGUUUAUGCUGUGAGCUAAGGUUGCCUCCAGCGGUAUAUUUGAAGAUGCAAGAGCGACUGUCUGUAGAAAUACUUAGCGGCACUGUCUCUACAAAAUCGGAUGCUCAUCGAUUAUUCAAGAUGGAUACCAUCAAAAUCGAUAGGGUCUAUGAUAUGCUCAUAAAAAAGGGAAUUGGUUCCCCUUGAGAUAUGUAUGGUGCGUCUUCUGGUUUGAUAUUUAAGAAUGUAGUCUCCCAUGAUAGAGAAAUAAAUAGAUGUUGUAUGAUUUUAUUCUGUAGGCUACAUUUCUAGAAAUUUUGAAGCACUGUAUAAGCUUUAGUAAUGAGUAGAGUUAGAUAAUCAGUAUUACAGAUUAUAGAACAUUCGCCAUGCCCUUCCCCUCACCAAGCUCCGCGAAUCAGGUUGCAUAUUGUUGUCCUGGAAGGAGAAAUAUGGUCUGUUGUGUACUAGGAUUUCAUAGGGAAAUUGAAGACUCGUAGCAGGCUUUUGCUAUCAGAUGUUAUAGAAAUUUUUAAAAAUUUAGGUUAUUUACUGUGCAAACUGUGAAAAUUUGUUCAAACUUUUCCAUUUAGAGUUGCUACUGUACCCAAGUUGUUUUCUUUUAGGUAGCAGUAUUCUUGAUAUUUAUUGGUUGCACUUUCCUACAAUAAAUAUGAAGUAUAAAAAGUAUACUACUCAAAUCAUCUUUCAUGGAAAUAGUCCUUUAUUUAUGAGUCUCAUAUUAAGUGAAUAAAGGCUCAAUUUAGUACAUAAGCUACUAUCAAAUAGACCUGUCUUUUGGAUUGAAUUUUUUUCAUGUACUUGAGUCAUGACAGAUGAUGCAUUCAUUUAUACUUGGCCAUAGAAUGGGUGAAACCUUGAAAUGGACUACUGAAUCACACUUUCAUGAGCUUAUCCCCCAGUGUCAGUAAUCACCACUACAUAUGUGAUUAACUAAUCAUCAAGAAAAUCCAUUUCAUAGGGGCUCAACUUCUCUUCAAUCCAUCUCCCAAUAAAAGUUAUGCCACUUUUUAUUGCCAAAUAACUCUGCUGCUAGCAUGAUAUCCUUCCCUUGGGGGCAAGCAUACAUAACUAACCACUAAGAGUAUCUAAACAAUGCUUCAGUAAUUUCUACACAACUUAGAAAAGGCCAAAUGAAAAACUCUAAGGUAGAAUACAACAAAGCAAGAAAAAUUGAUGCCAAGGAUUUGGAAGGGUACAAACUAUAGAAGGCACUUUAGUUGGUAAUCUUAUGCACCUUUCAGGAAACAAUUUAUGAAGACCACUAGAAUUUUUACCUGCUAACAAAAAAAGACUGCUAUCUGGUUGAAGAGUUCCUACUAUAAACACUUCAUCACUAUUAAACAUGUCCAAAGUUGUGGAAUCAUGUCAAGAAAGCACCAGUCAGCAGUGGAUUUAAGCUGUCAGUAAUUAAAUAGGUGUGCCCAAAAAAUGAUAUGGUACGAAAUGCCUAUCCAAUAAUGUCUCGUAGAAAGAUGUACAUAAUCAUUUAAAUUAAAAGGAAUGUCCAAUGCACGAGGCUCUCAUCUAGUAGAGCCUGUGGAUGUUACAUAAUCAUUUAAAUUCCGCUAGUAAUUUGAAAUAGACGAAUCUCAAGACUCAGUUACAAUCAUAAGAUGCGAACAAGAUAUCGUAAAAUUUCCUAGAUGAAACCUUGAAAGAUUCAUGGUUAAAAGAACAUAAAAUCUACAACUACAAACUUUGCUGCUCAAGGCUAAAUAUGUGGUAUGCAGUUGCAAUUGAUAUGUGCAUCUUAACAACCACAUGCCUUAAACAUGUGGCUAAAAUAUAUAAUAAUCGUCUAUGAUGUUUGAUCUAAUGAACGACUCUACCUAAAAGCAUAGGCUAUACACCACCAUUAUCCUUAAAUCAGAAACUUCAGUACCUGACAAUCAUUAUCCUCUGCAUAUACUAUUACUCCCCGGCUUCAUUUCGUUUUAUAUACAAGGUGAAUCCACCUUCAGGUAAUAUCAGUUGGAGACCAAAAAAUUCUUCAUUUAGCUCUACCAUAUAAUCAUGCAACCUGUAUUGCUUCUGCUGCAUCAAGUUUUGGUUCAGCAGAAUCAAAAUUUUCCUCCUUCAAAAUUCCCUCACUUGUCUCUUGAGCGUCAUCACCACCACGACCAUCAUCAAUGCCAGUGUCACUUGCACUGCCACCACCAGAGUUAUUAUCCUUGUCUACAUCAAUGGCACAGAGUAGCUUCAUAUCAGCAUCAACAAUGUCGUCGUCACCAUCACAGCCACCAUCACAGUUAUAAUCUAUGCCUUCAUGAAUGGCAUGGAGUGGCUUCCUCAAGGUCAUUCCCUUCAUAGUUUCUACCGGGUCAUCAGGUGCUUCCGAAACAGACAAUUCAGGCUCAAUCUUUUGAGCAACUUCAACUUUGGGAACUGAUGAUGGUUUACUUUCUAAAUCAGAUAUGGAUCCAUCUACCACUGCAGAAUCAGCUGUCAGUCUGAUGCUGGAACUGACAUUUAGAGAUAUAUAGCUGCAAAUGUUAGGCUUUCCCGGUAUGUCAACCCACUUCUUACCAACCCAAUCUCGCGAAAUCCGAACGUUCCUCUUCUCAACUGUUAGGAACUUGUCUUCACCUAGAGAAAAAUAAUAUUACCAUAUAACAACCAUCAGAUGCCUAACGCAAACAAAACAUAAUUCGUAAACUCAUGGACUGUUUAUCCAUGAACAGUGAACUAUGCACAAAAUAGUUUUGAAAAAAUUACAUGAAUAUUAUAUCCUACCAGGAGAAUAAACCUGCAGGAUUCCAACUCCACAAAAAUUGACAGCAGUUACAACACCUUCCCACCAUCCAUCACUCCACCAGGCAUCCACUGCUGCUCCAAUCUCAAAAGUAUCAUCUGUAGUAUUUUCAGGAGGGCAUGGUCGUACUGCUAAUCGGCCUGAACAUCGCAUACCCAGUUUGUCAGGAGCUGCCACUUUAGAUGCAGGGAUCCAUUCCUACACAUGUUAACAGUUGUGCUAAAAAUUGUACACUUUUCCGAUCUCCACAUAAAUUCAUGAAAUUAAUGAGCUCAGCCAGUGAGAUGCUCAGACUUCUAAGCCCAAAAAUCACCAGGAUCAGUAAUUCAUUAUUUCUACCAGAUUAGAAAAUUAACCAGCCAAGAGGAGUGUGAAUGUGUGUGACUGUGUCUCUGGAGUCGGGGAAAAGAAAUAAAGCCAUUGCAUACCUCUAGCUUCUCGGGUCCAUCUACAUCCAGCACGUCAUCAUAUUGGACCUUCAGUCGCUUCUGAGUUGCAGUCAAGAUUUUACACCGAAACCAGCAUCCUCUAAUGCUACUAUCUUGACAGAGAACCUCUACUUUUUCAUCUACCAUAAAAGACAGUUCACACUGAGGCUUGGGUCCAAUAACCUUAAUACCCAUUGUUGUUUUUGAUAGUUUCAAUUUCAAACUUGGGUAUUUCGGUUCACAUUUUGUCAUCUCAUUCAAAGGAGCAGAGUUUUUCAGAUCAUAAGAACCAUUUUCAAGCACUUGAUUCCCCUUAGAACUCCUCUUCCUCUUACUGCUGGACAUUAAAGGAUCAUCUUGAGUGAAGUCCUCAUCAUCUUCCAUGUUUGAUUUAAGACAAUUGGUCUUUCUCUUGGACAAAAUAGGACUAUACAAACAAGAAGGCACAGGUUGGUUACUAUAUCCACGCAACUUAGUAAGUGAGAAGGGUUUAAGCUUGUUGUUUUUGAACUGCCUAGAGCAUACAUGGACCUCAGAUAAAGAGAUGUGUGGCACAUCAGCCAGGUAUUUCUCAUAAUGCUUGGGAUUCAAAACUGUUGCAGGACCGCUGACACACUCUGCACUGAUCACCUGAACAUGAGGCGUGAUGAAAACUUCUCCCUCUUGUGGAUUCAGCUCUGGAAUCACAUGCUUAACUUCCUGACCAUGGUGAAACCACCGUACCUUCACCUUUUUCUGGCUCUUCUUGUUUUCAUACAUAUCUUCCACAUAACCAAGAUAGUUUCUUUCUUCUUGAGCCAUGAUAUAUACAAACGAAUGAACCUAGAAAUCAGAAGAAAAUGCCUAUGAUAUCAAGAAUAUCGGAAAUAAUUUAUAUAUAAUGAAAAAUCAUAUAAUUCUCUUACAUUUAUGAUUGUCCUAUUUCUGCAAAACCCUGGGUAGUGCUUCAGCUGUUUAUGACAAAACCAAGCAAUGCCCAACCACUCAAUAUUUGACCUUUGAAGUUCCAAUUUCCUUGAAAUCUGCAGUUUAGAAAUGUAUGCAGGGGAACUAAUCAAAUAAAGAUAAAAUGGAGAAUAAAGAGACAUGAACUUAAUUAGUUGGCAUUCUUAUACCAAUUUAUCAGGCAAAAGCUUUUUCUUAGCAUGGAUUCCAGCUUUUAAUAGCUCGAGAGAUUCUGCAGCUUGUUCUGAAUCAUUCAGCUGAACACCUGUGACAGAAAUAUGGGGGUUGCUCAGAAUACUAUCCACAUCUAGAGGAAAAGAAACUGUGCAAAGAGGAUUGAUAGAUCAAGUCGUAGUAAAAUAUGGGGCAAGACAAACAAUAAAAAUAUCUAGAAGACCACAUGAUGAAAAAUGGAUUCAUCAAGAAAAAACCAGCAAAUCUUAAACAAAAGCACCAUGUUCAAUGGCAAGUUGUUAAACAAUUGGUGUAACAUGAUAGCACCAUGUUAAAGCUUAACAUUUAGUCUUAAACAAAAUAGAGUGGAAUGAAGAAUGACAGAUAUGAAUUCAGAACUUAUGAAUGUAAAAGAGAACAGAUCACGCAACCAAACGCAGAUGGAAACUAAUCAAACAGUACCCAUUUCUCUAUGGAGCACAAAUAUGACCAUAGGAUACCAAAUAAACAUCUUUAGCUCAGCGCUUGUCAUCCUUUAUCAAUGCACCAGCCACAUGCGAUUUCAAAGAAGCAAAGACAUAUAGCAUAAAAUGAAAACAAAAGCUUGUAAAAAGAACUUGCCAAACAAAUUAUUUUGUGACACUUCUAUGGUUUUGGGGGUAAAUGUAGGCAGGAAUACCCAGGUGAGGAAAGUAGAUAGGUGUCUAGUGGAGGAUCAAAAUUUUGACACAAUCAUAACACCUCAGUCAAAAUGUGAGGGUGUCGGAUGAGAACCACAAAACAUAUAAUUUAGUGAAAUUUAAUUUGCUUUCACAACCAUUUCAAAGUAACACACAUUUGGCUAACAAAAAAACACGCAAGUGAAAGAAUAGUGUUUUCCACACAGCAAAAUGUCUUGUAUUUUGUUUAGAAAGGGGUAGAAAGUAGCUUUAUACGUAACUAUAUCAAGUUGCAUAUUUUAGAUAGUAAUUCUUAUAUUGUAGUGCGGAAUUUUUAUGACACGAAAGCAACUCGCAACCGAAGUCGUGAAUGAAUCAUUUCCCCCCUUCAACAUGUAUUCCCAUUAAGUAUUCAUGUACAUGAAACAUGAACUAUAGUGAACAUUAUGCAAAAUUUAGGAAGGACUUGUAUUCUUUGGGAUGGACAUAGUAAUUAACUAAUAAGCCUAUCAUAAAUAGUCCUCGGGACUUGUAUUCAUUUAUCAUAUGAUAAACAUUGUAGACCUGGGUAGUUUCUUAACCCUAGAACCCUAAUCCUAUUAAUACUACCUCGAUAUGUAACCCUAUUUGCACUAGGCUUGUUAAUUUAUUAUGAAUCUCAUCCCAAAGAAUAUGGGUCCUAUCUAAACUCUCCCACUAGUCACUAUACUCUUGUGCCAAUUACAUAAAUACUUAAUAGGAAUUCACAUUAAAAUUGCCAUAGAAAGGAAAAAAGCAAUGAUCCAUUCAUCACUGUAGAUGCUUCUUCAUGCUGAGGUGCUUGCAUGACUAAAAAAGUUCCUCACCAUAAUAUCUGCCCAAAAUCUGCAAUUUCAUAUAUUUACUUGCAAAAGUUGACGAUAACUCGGUAUAACUUCCUACUCCCUUUCUGAACAAAAUAGAAGACUUUUGGCACAUGGAAACUACAAUUUUAACACUUGUACACUUUUUUGUUAGUCAAUGAUGUGUUACUUUGAAACAGUUCAGAAAACAAAUUAAAUCGCACCAAAUUACAUGUUAGUUGUUAAGUGGUUGCUCAACUAGCACCAGCCUCACUUUUAGAUUGAUGUGUUAUGACUGUGCCAAAAGUUUGAUCCUCCACUAGACACCUAUCUACCUUCCUCACCUAGGUCCUUCUACGUAUAUUUACCCCCAAAAGCCUAAACCAUAGAAGUGUCACUAGAUAAUUUUUUUUGUAUAAGCAAGGAUAUCCCUCACUCUAUGGGUAAGGAACUAAUUCCUUAUGGGGUACGUGGUUGCCCCUCCCAGGAAGUGUCACAAGAUAAUUUGUUUAACAAGUUCUUUUUACCGGCUUUUGUUUUCAAUUCAAGCUAGAUGCCUUUGCUUCUUUGAAAUUGUAUGUGGCUAGCGCACUAAUAAAGGAAAAGUAAUGAAUAAUUGAUUACUAAAAAAAAUGCAAGGUUUAAUAUAUUGCAUAUAAAAUGAAGUGCAAAAAUGGGAAUAACAAAACUAAUCAUGACCACUUUCACAUUUAUUCACUUCACACAAAUAAAAUUACCAAAGAACCAAUGCUAACAUGCAAAUUAUUAAUACGCAUAACUACAUUCUUAAAUUUAAGUAGAUAGCAUAUAAAUGCCAUACAGUUGCAGUUAAAAAUCAUAAAUAAAACAUUUGUGGUAGCUGCACCAAUUUGCUCUAUCCAAUCCAACCAUGACAAAGUUCUGAAUUUUUUAUCCCUCAUUGUGAGUGGUCAAUGUGAAAGUACAAAGAAAGCACCUCAAAAAUAAAAAAUACACAUGGCACAACUUUCAGGUACGCAGUCAAGAUUCAAGAAUCAUAGAAAAAAAUAGUUCUUAGACAAAAAUGACAAACUAUGUGAACUUAUACACUACAGACUUGACAAAAAUGCUUGAAUUUAACUCAUAGGAAGGCACUUAGAUGAUUAACCACAAUAAGUCACACUGCACUGACUCUGAUUUUGACAAUGCUUGGUGACCAACCAACAAUACCAACAAGCACAGCAACAACAACCAAUGCUAAUACCACUACAAUUAUUUUGAAUGAUACAAUUCGAGGAGCCAAAAACCGUGGAUCGUGUAAUCCGAUUCAGCAAAUGAAUCCAUAAUUAUUCAUAUUUCUAAAACACAAAGCAUUCCAAACUUGAAGCACAUCAAACUGCAAAAACUGAAACCAACUUACCCGCACGUUGUGAAUGAUUCUGCGAAAUCAAACAAGUGAGCCAGUUGACAACCUCCCUCCUCGCCCUCCAUUUAAAUGCAUUGAUAGACUCAUUGGAUCCAUAAACCUUCAUAAAAUUGUCAGGUACAAUAUACAUCAUGUGCCUCACACUUCUCUCAGUCCCAACAACAGCAAGCACCGAAUUCCCAAAUGCAUCUUUCAAGUAAAAAUGAGUUGCACGGUUCCCACGCUCAGGACAUAUCACUUGCUCUUCCCAGUCCACAAAAACAGGUGCAAUAUCCUCAGACAUUUUCACCAGCAGCAACAAUAGUAAAAAAAAAAUCCCCUUUUUACAACAUCAACAAAACAAAAUCAAUGAUGGGUUGUUCCUCAAACCCCAGAUUGGGAUAAGGGAAACCCUAAUACAAAAACACAGUUCCCAAACUUGAAUCAUUGAAAUAAAACCCCAAAAGUCCAAAACAUACCCAACACAUAGAACAACCCCAGAUAAGCGUAAUAAGGUAAAAUGGCGAAGAAUUGAAAGGAGAUAAAGUAUGUUCCAAAAGGCUAAAAGUGAAGUAAAAGAUUAACUAUGCCCUUAUGCCUCCACCUAAAAGUAUUAAAAAAACAGUUUUUGUGGGGUGAAACAGAACAAGUUGUUAGUAUGAAACAAAAACGAAGUUGUAGGAAGUGGGGGUUGAAUGGAAUGGGGUGGGAGAGAGAAAUAGAGGUUAAAAAAGAGAACUUUAUAAGGAGAGGGGAAAAGGGUAAUGAAGAGAGAGAGAGAAUAUAUGAGAAAGGGUUAGUGGUAUGAGGAGCUGCACAAGUGUUGAGUUCUCACAAGUUGCACUGCCAUGUGAAUAUGUGAUGAACGUGGAAAUUCAAGAGAAAAACAGAGAGAGAGAGAAGAGGGGCAUAGAGGGGGUUCCAAUGUUAUUGUGAGAGGAGAAUAUUCAUAUGGAACAAGCAUCAACUGUCCCAAAAAGUUCAUAUCUUCAUGUCUCAAACUUAAUCACAUUUCAAUAAAUAACAUGCAAAGUUAAUUUUAUAUUUUUAUAAUUAUUCUUUUUAAUUACAUGACAAUUUUUAACUGGAUUAGGAGAUGUGAUUUCCAUUAUAUUAAGGUGCUGUAUGUGUCAUUUCCUACUUAGCUCUAUUAUAACAUUCAUACCAUAUGUAUCCAUGUUUUCCUAUUCUGUCAUUCUCUUUGACCUCACUUAGUAUGAGCCAGGACCAAAUGCAAACAAAAUGUAAUUGUUUUUUUGCUUAAACAAUAAGUCACACUUCAUAUUUAUGUUCAUGAGAUAUGGGUAAACUAUGGAAAAACUAUGACUUUAUUAUGAUACCCUCAAAUUAUUAUUUUUAUAAUUAGCAAUUGUCUUAUUGUUAUCAUUAAGUUGGUCCCCGAAAUAUAUUAACCAUCCACUAAAUCCUUCAAGACAAAAUAGUCAUCCUAGAGUGAUUGUCAUAUAUAAUGUAGUUAGUAUGAAGGGUCAUGGCAUAGGUUUCAUCUCAACACUUAUACACGCAAAUGACAGCUCAGUCAUUUAUAUGAUAUAGUAUUGAAAAUGUGAAUAAAAACACUCCAAGGAACAAUCCAACCAACCACAUAUUAUAUAUACUAUAGGAUACCUUUCACCACAAGUAACACUCAUAUAUAAAAUAUACACAUAUUAAAUUCAUAUACAUAUCGUAGGGGAUUGUUAAUUUCCUUAAUUAAUGUAUGCAUUAUGCAAUUCCUUGUCUUUCACGGAUUUCUAAUUUGCUUAGUUAAUUUACUCAUAUAUAUAUAUAUAUAGUGGUUCUAUAUGUUAUGUAUUUGGUUCAAAUAUAAGUAAACUUUCCACCUUUAAUAUGGCUCCUAGAUUGGUUCUUAAUUCAGCAUGCCAUGUUUUGGGCCACACCAUAGACAAGGACAACAUAGAAAAACAGUGCAACCAGAUUGUUAGUGAUUCAAAUGGAGAAGUAGAAAAGGUUGAGUACCCUUCUUCAGGUUUUCAAAUGCCUCUUCACUAUCCACGUUACACCAAAGAUGACUAUGAGAGAAUGGAGGAUUGGAAGGUGGAGUUGCUUCUUCAGGAAUAUGGAUUAAGUUUCAAGGGUACCCUUGAUGAAAAGAGAGCUUUUGCAAUGGGAGCAUUCUUGUGGCCUGACCAAUAUUAAACGAGUUUUAACAAAUUAUAUGCCUAUAUGAUAUAUGCUAGUAAAUGUAUUUUAAGUUUUGUAUUUUAUGAUGGUUGUGUGUACGAGUCUCGGCGCAAGGAUAAGAUUGCUACCCUGUAACUUAAAGGUUAUCGAAUAAGUUAAUAUACAUUUAUCCUACCCAAAUCUCAUACAUGGGUUACCCUUAUCGUUGUGGUAUCAUAUAUGAGUGUGCUUGUACUUGUAAUUGUUCUUCUAUAUGUAUCAUAGAUAGUAAAGUUUCCAUAUAAAGCAGAGUUGCAUGACAUUGAUUAUUAUUGAUAGUUUGCCACUGAAAGCAAUGUUUAUGUGGCUAGCUUGUUCUUGUUGACGCAGGGUAUGCCCAGUCAUACAAAACUUCAUGGAAAUAAGUCAAUAAUAAAAAUGCUUAGGAUUUGUUCUGUGUUGAGUUUUGGAGUAAAAGAAAAGGAAGACUUCAAAGUUAUCUCGUGUAUUUGGUAGUUGUCAAGUUUUCCAUUUCUUUUCUUUCCAAAACUGAGCUCACAAAUAGACUCUUAAGGGUUAUUGGUUAUUAUGUCAAAAGUCAAAAUAAAUAGAAAAAGGAUUCACAUAGCUGUAUAUAGACUUUUCAUACAAGAAAGACAUUUUCCUUGGAUGCUUUCAUUGUGUUAAAUUUCUAAAGACAAGAAAGGUAGGUUAGCUAACCAAUCAUUGAGCAUGAAACAAGGACUUAAGGGUCAAAUGUUUGGUUUUAUGGUUGUGUUGCUUCUAAUGAGGGGAUGCAUUGACAACAUCCAUAAUUGAAGGACAAGUAGGACACGCAUUGCAAAACUCAGGAAGAAGCUUCUUUUAAUUUAUGCUAAAGUAGUAGUAAUAAAUAAACAAUGUCUACAUAGAAAAGUUUCUAUCUUUCUCUAUUAUACAAAUAUAUUCACUUAGUCAUAGAUCAUUGGAACAUUAUGUUCCCCUUUUCUGUCAUCUUCUACACUAGUGUGGCUAAGAAGGUAUUCAUUAGCAACCUUUUAUUUUCAAAUAUCUUGUGACCAAGUAUCAUGGACAAGGACUCUGUCUCUAGAUGGAGGAACAUUCAAAAGGCACUAUUUACUUUGUCAUUUCUUUCCAUUCUAUUAUCAUAUGAUGAGUUCAGUGGUUGCAAACUUGCAUUUCAUAACAUCUAUACAGCAGGACACUUCUUAUUAACUUGUCGGCGAACGAGUAAUGUUAAUGCAUACUCCAUCACUCUCAGGGAGAUUUCUAACCUCAUUAAGAAUCCUAUAAGUUCCUUUGUCAGUUCUCUACAAACAUAGUCAGAUCGCUCCUUUGUAAUUGAUGAUUCCGAAAACAAAGUUUCAGUCAUGGACUGAUAUUCUUGGAACAACUCCCUAGCAAUUCUUUGAUUAUUCUGGUCAGCAAUGAGUAAAGAGCAUUCCUGUCUCCAUCUACUUAAAUAGAACUUUUCAGGCAGAUGAAAGUAAUUCUUCGCUACAAAUACGCGAAGAGCGUGUCUGCAUAAUUUUCCUGAUGAUUCAAAUUCCUUGCACGAGCAGUGUAUCUGUUCCUCUUCAGCCGACCAUAUUACGAGCCGUUCUGCAUCCAUCCUUUUGAAGUGCUGCACAAUAUAUGAUCCAUUGGCCAUUUCAGUUAUAGCAUAUUGCGUUGUAAGCAAAAGUUCCUGCUGAAAAGCAUUAAAAGCGAACAGCGUGAGAGUGCUCCGUGCUUGAUCUUCAAUUGGCAUGCUCGUUUUCGGAUGUAUAUAUUGAGUUUCAUGACAUGCUUGAUGUUGAAAUUUUGUAGAAAUACCAACCUGCAUUAAUAUCCACAAGAGGGAAGAAAAUCAAUAUGUUUAUCUGAACUAAGUCCAAACACAGAAACCAUGUGGCUCCACCAAAUUUCAAAUGCCUCUGUAUUCUCAUAAGAGGACAUUUAUUAAGGUAUGAGUAAAAUCUUAUAUAGAGGAUGCUAGUAUUAAACCUGAAUAGCCCAUGAAAAGGAUUGAGGUGUUUCAUCCUGCAAUAAAAUGCAACCAAAAAAGUUGAUUCUACCAUAGCUAUCAAUGCCAAACCAUGCUUCAAAAAGCAAUCCAUAAGUGAUUGAUGUUAAGGUUCGAUGUGAGACUCACUUUCCAACAUGCCCCCUCCAUAUAAGUCUGUUGGACCAGACGAAGAGUUACCUUUGACCUAUAACUGAAGGGUCCAAAAAAGUUGGUUCUACCAUAGCUAUCAAUGUCAAACCAUGCUCCAAAAAGCAAUUCAUAAGUGAUUGAUGUUAAGGUUCGAUGCGAGACUCACUUUUCAAGAUGCACCCUCCAUAUAAGCUUGUUGGACCAGAUGAAGAGUUACCUUUGACCUAUAACUGAAGGGCAUAUUUUGGCUCAUGAAACCAAAAAAAAAAGUUGAACUCUGACUCUGAUACCAUGCUAAGGUUCCAUCUGAAAACCAAUUAGCAAUGAGAGGAGUAGCCCAACAAGUAUUUAAAUCAUUCCCAAGGUUAGCGAUGUAGACUUACUUUCCAACAAUUGAUUGAUAAGUAAUGUCAAAAUAAACUACAUCAGCAAACAUAGCAUUUGCAUUUAUGGAGUCACCAUAUGACCAAGCUACAUUUUCAACCUUAUCAUUCUCAUCCACACUAAAAUCAUAAACAAAGCCACCAUCUGCUUCUUUCAUGGCUUUGCAUGCCUCAAGAAGUUCCAAUACAUCAUUUUCUCUUUUCUCACUUAGCAAGGCCUCAUUCUCUUGAACAACCUUCUUAUGGUUUUGAACAAAGUUCCUCACAUCCCUUUCCAAGAAAGGCAGUUGCCCACAUUGAAUUGGUUCUCCCGUACUAAUUCGUGGCUCUUUCGCGAACUGGUACCCUUUAACACUCAAAAGCAAAAUUGCUAUAAUACUCAAAAGCAUCAUCAUCACUCUUAAACACCAUUCCAACAUAGGGGGUGAUCAAUGCUCCAGAUGAUGGUUUCUAUGUCUUCACCAACUCUGGUUCUGAUGAACCCUCUUCAGCAUCACCCUCAUAUGUGAUAUAACACUUCCAAUCUCCACAAGGGCAUUGUUCAACUUGAAAGGAGUCUUGAAAUCACUCAAAGUUUCGAACUUUAUGCGACCCAGAAGUAGGGGGUAGUAAAUAAACUAAGACUCAAGUCCAUAAAGUGUUCAAGGGGAAGUAAAAUUUUAAUAUAAUCAGGUUUUCUACCAGUCUUGAUAAGGUAAAUACUAUAAUAAUAAGAAGAAGAAAUGUACAAUCUAUGAAUUUUUUAUUAUAUCAUUCAUCAUUCAUGUUUAUUCAUCAUUGAUUCUUCAAAAAAGUAAUGACUCUGAAUUGAGUUGUGUGGCAACCUCAUACUAUAUAAGUUCAUGGUUUAUAUUAUCCAAAAACCAAAUAGAUCAAACUGCAGAAAGUUCUAAACUUUAUUAUUGAUUUUUGUAUAUAUUGCCGUGAAAUUUCUUAUACACAUUUGAUUGAUACAAAUCUCUUUUGAGCAUGAUUUUGAUCAUACAGAACAUGAUACCAUUGAUCAUAGUUUUGAUCUUCUUCUUCUUCUUCAGUAUUGUUCUGGCUUCCCUGCUACAUAAUCCAAGAGUCCUUCACCAACUUUUUCAUCAUGAACUUCUUCUGUUGAGAAUAUUGAAACACCUCCAAAGGCUAUAAUUGCAACCAAGAAAACAGUAGUGGAAGCAAACAAGGGCCAAAAAUAGGCCAGAAUGGUUAGAAUUCUAGGGGCUGCAUAUAACACCAAAGACAAUGUUAGUGAAACUGCUAUUGCUAUGAUGAUAUAGUAUCUAUAUUUUAGAAGCUUUUGUGAUACAUCCAUGGCCUCUUCAAUUAGUACUUUUACUCCAAAAGGGAAUGGAAAAAAGGAAGAUGGAAAGAAUAUGGUUAUUUCUUGUUCAAAGAGUUUAGUGUUAUAUAUGUGAGUUCAUAAAAAGUGUUGUAUAUAUGAAUAGAUUCUAUACUGGAAAGGAUGGUCUUAGAUGACUUUCAAAGUUUUCUUGGCCCACCUGCCACUUAUUUGAUAAAGAACAAGUCUCACAUCUUCAAAAAAAUUUUCUCUUCAUGUCUCAAGUCAAUUACAUCUCACCGAAUAAUAUAGCAUGUCUUUUUUUAAUUAUAUCACACUUUUUAAAAGACAUAUAUGUUCCUAAAGUGUACUCUUGUUAAUUGGGUAACUAAGUUUACUUACAAUAGAAAGUAUAUAAUUUUAAGAAAUUUAUAUAUUACCUGAUGAAUAUAUGACUUAUGUCUUUUAUUGGUAACAUGCUCUAAAGUCAUACAAAGUAUAGUACAAACCAUGUAUCAUGAAUUAUAAUUAGUAAACUACAUCAAAUUAUAUAUUGUUUUAUAUUCAAAACAAUUGAAUAAUCAAAAUCCAUAACCCAAGAUUGUGACAGAAUUUGUGAAAUUCACUUGAUACUUUAACUAAAAGAAAUGGGUAUGUUAAUUAUUUCACUGCUCAAUCUACUUAAAAAUCUAUAUACAACAAUAAUUGAUAAUCUAAGUAAAAGACCACCUUUCAAAUGAGAUAAGAAAGAAGAUUUAUAUAUUAACAUAAUUUCAUUUGCAUUAUAAUUAGUGACACUGAAGGUUCUUAUGGACGGCAAGGGAUAAGGCUUUCAAUAAUUGUUCUUUGGGCCAAUAUUAAAUGGCAUAUUAGUAAUUAAAACAAGUUGAUAUUAUGUCUUUGGCAUAGAUUCUUUGUCAAAUUCCUGAUUGGUCGGUUUGCGGUGUGUACUUUUUGGAAGUGGGUGCUUUUUAAUUGGAAAAUUGUAAUGAAGAUUUAGUCUCCACUAGAGGAAAGGCAUAACUUCUUAUUCUUCUUUAUGGUCAUGGGUAAAAAGAAGAUAUCAUAGAUUAUUCAAUGCACAAUUAAGAGUCAUUUAGAUAAGUUUUGUUCUUCCUUUAGAUUUAAGGUACCCCCACAUGAGUUUUAGGCCCUUAAAUCAUUAUUUAGAGAAGAAAAAUAAGGUUGAGUCAAUUUUGGUGGAAUAGUUAUAUUAAUUUAAUAUUUACUUGAAAACCUAACCUUAGAGGAGAGCACAUAUGUUGUUCUACAGUUUGUAUCACUCUAUGUACUAUGAGCUUAUGAUUGGUUAAAAAAAUACCCGGUAAUUAAAUUUUAAUUUAAAUAUUUUUUCUGACCAGCCAUAAGUCCAUGACACAUGGAGUGACACAAACUGUUGGAAAAUAUAUGUGUGCACGCAGUGCUACUUUUAUAACAAUUGCAUAGUUAGUAGAAUUUAUGGAAUAAAAUAAAGGGAAAUGCAAGCAUAGUUAAAAUCCAUUAAAUGAAGUUAAAAUUAGAAUGUCAUUUUUUUUAUAAGAAGGGUGAUAUUCAAAUUUAUAAGAGAUACAAUUAUUUGACAUGAGAUUUUUAAUUAAUGUUCUUCAACAAAAUAAAAACCAUGCUUGUGACUUUAGAUUGUAAAGGCAUUCAUGAUGUGUCUCUCACUUUGAGGUAAGGCUUAUCCUUCAAUCUCAUAGUGGAGAUGAAAAUUGUAACUCAUUUCGAGGUAAGAGGUAAUAUUCAAUCAAAUGAAAGAUAUAAAAGAGGAUAUAAAGUCAAUCAACAACUAAACAUAAGUCAAAGUUUUAAAUUCCUUGAUGGAGUUCUUUUUAGCUUUUCAUUCAACAAAAGCUCCCUUCUAAUUGCAACAAAAAAAUGAAAAAAAAUAACAUUUUUAUAUUACAUGUAAAAUGUGAUUAACUAAAUAUAUUAAUUAGUAUUGUAAAAAUUGGUUUGUACUGAUCAGUUCAAUUGAUAAACGGGUUCGAAUAUAGAUACGAUACAACAGUUGUACUAAUUAUACAAUUAUACUAGUCAAAUUCAAUUAAAACUGGUCAUAUUGACCGAUUCUCAUUAAACCGUACUGGUUGAACCGACUAAUUUUUAUUUAAAUUUAUUUUUUUAAUGAAAAUAAAAAUAAAUUAUUUUUUCAAGUUAACAUUAGUAUAAUAUAUAUAUACCACUAUAUAAUUUAAUUAAUAAAUUAUCAGUUGAAUUACUAUAAUAUCAUUUUAAUACAAAUAUUAAUAAGAAUGCAUUAAAUAGAAAGAUCUGUUCAUGUUAUACACUACUUCUUAUAAAAUAACUAGCCCUUAGAGCACGUGUGUUCCAUAAGCAACCGACCAAACACCACGUCACGCCACACGUGCGUCCCUCCAACGGCUAGUUUUUGGUUCUCUCUUUCUCCAUUAUUUAACCGCCAUUUCUUAGAAGAGAGAGAAAGUAAGACAAGAUAUUUUUUCUCCAAUUUUUCAGUACUUUCCUCAAACCGUUUUUUUUUUGUUACUGCUUAAUCUUCGUUCGGGUAACAAUUACUAAUUUCAAAUUAUAAACUUUUAUCUCACCUUCAUAUAUAAAGCACAUUAAAAUCUUAGAACCAAUUUGGAUUCUGUUACCAUUUUCAUUUUCUGGUUUUCUCUCUGCAACAAACAUACCCCAAAACAGAAAGUAUCGUAAAUAUAGGUUUGUUUUUCUGUCUCAAUUUCUAUUAUUUCAUGAUAUCCCCCUUCAAAGUUUCCUUUUUUAAAAAAUUGUUAAAAAUUUGAUUCAUUCUGUGGUUUUUGCAGAUUGAAGAAAAAAGUGUUGAAAGCUCUGAUUGUUUUUGAGUUUGCUGGUAUUUUGGGUUUAGCGAAGACAUGGCAUUAGGGUUUGAUAAUUGUUAUGCACGUGCAUUGGGAAGAAAAAGGGUUGUGGUUUCCAACAAUGUGGAAGCUUCAAAUCCAAUGAAUAGUUCAUUGAAGAGAGUGUGCAGUGGCACAUUCAGUUCCAUUUCUGAAAGGUCUUCCCUUGAAGCCCUUCCUUUUGAUAUACUGGUGAGUAUAACAAUUUCAACCUUAAUUUUUCACCAACAAUGGUUUUUAUUGUUUGUUUACUUAUUUAUUGUGUAAUGGGUAUUUUGAAGUUUCUGAAAUUUGUGCUAUUUAUUUUUGGUUUAAUUGCAGAUAAAGGUAUUGUGUGGUGUUGAGCAUGAAGAUUUGGAGCAGCUUUUUCAUGUCUCUAAGAUUAUUAAAGAAGCAGUGAGUAUUAGAGUAUUGUUGUUGUUUAUUGUGAUUUGUAUUUAUAUUUCAACCAGUGUUUCUAAUUUGGUAACUAUUGGUUUGUUUUGUUGUUGCAGGCUGAAAUUGCUAAAAGAUUGCAUUUUGAGUAUAGUACACCAAAGAAGAAAACUUUUGCUGCUUUUCAUAUUCCCAUUGAUGUAGAUUCCUCAAAUGAGUUUGAGGAAAUUAAAGCUCCAAAUGCACCAUUGAGGAAGUAUAGGUCAAGAUUGAAUGGUAGGAUUAUGAACAUGGAAUCAAUCUGUUCAAACUUGUUUCCUUCCAUGGAUGAAGAUCAGUAAGAUGGUAAGUGAAAAACUCAUUACAAGAUUAAAGUUUCUGUUGUUGUUUGUAUAUUGAAAUGGUGGGAUUAGAUUGUUCUAUUGAAGCCAAGGGUAUCUCACUGGUUGGCUGAUUUACACAUGUUACUUGCCAAUUUCUUCAAAUCCUUCAUUGAAGAAUGCUUUGGCUUGUUCUAAUCUUUCUUUAGACAAAUAGAAAGUAGGAGAGAUUGUGCUUUUGUGCAGACUUUAGAGUGGUCCUCCUUCUAGUGUCUCAUAGAUUUAGGUGUGAAACUAUAAGAUACUAUACAUUUCUUAACAUAGUGAUUUAAGAUUCCACUUGUAUAAUUCACUUCUUAAUUUAUGUCCAUGCUUAUUCAAAAACUCUAAUUUCCAACAUUAUAGUUCAUAAAAUUACACAGAUUUGUUAAGUAUGUAGAAAAUGAACAAAUCUGAUGUAGACUACUAAUGACAAUCAAAACAAAGGUUUAGGAUAAUAAUUAGAAGAAAAAAAGAUUUCUUGUUAUAGAUAUAAGCAACAUUAACUGCAUUUAUUAUGUGGGUGUUAUACCAAAAGAGAAAUUUCUAUUUAAUGUCUCUUAACUCAAGUUUUUAUGGUAAUAAUGCUCAGUGAAAGUUGAAGACAGUUUAUUUAUUAAUAGCAUCUUCUUAACCGAAGUUUCAAUUUAUUGAGUUUUUUAUUUUAGACGUUGAUAUUCUUUAUUUAGAGAGUUGAAGACAGUUUAUUUAUCAAUAGCAUCUUCUGACAUCUUGCAAAUGCAAAACAAAUUUAGUGAAGAAAGUUCCACUAAGGCAAGUUACUGAUUAUAAGCCAAGUCAGCCAAGUGCAUCAGCAGGGAAAUAAAAUGUUACAAAUACUUGGAAAAUAAUUGAAUUACAUGUCCAAAUUAUGUAUAUUAGCGAAGAUGGUCAUAGAAAAUACUACACUUGCUUAAGUUGUAUCAUUGAGUAUGAAGGAUAUCUACCAGUGUUGAUUAUAAUUUUUAAAGAAUACAUCUGAAAACAGUGAGCUCAAGCUGAUUCAACACUAAUUUAUAGCAAGGAUGAAUUUUUUUUACCAGAAAUAUAAUUUUUAGCAUUGAAAUUGACAAAUAUCAUAUUUUCAUUGGUUAGUCCAAGAAAUAUGAACAAUAAGCAUAUAUUAACUUGGUAAAUAUUUACAAUGAGAUGACAUUUUUAUCCUUAAAAACAAAAGUAAAACAAUAACUUCUCUCUCCAAUUCUGGAAAGGAUCUUUUCGCCUACGGUAUUGGCUAAGAAACUAAAAAAUCUGCAAAUUUGCAAUUGUGAGACCUUCUUUCAUCUUUUCUUCUUCUCCCUGCUGUCACAAAAUGAGCAGGUGAACAAUUCCUAGAGUCUUUCAGGAAAUUUCUCAAUAACUAUAUAAAAUUAGUUUCUCAACUGAUGUAUGACAGUAUGUAGAGCUUAAACUGAAACAACUCUACCAUUUAAUCAUUCUGCUCCUCAAGAAUAGUUGGUAAAGAAGGUAACCAUUUCCUUCUGAUAUGUGCAACUUUUGUCUUGAUAUGUAACUUGUUUGAUCCACUUAACAACAGUUUCAACUGUUCCAUAGUCAUCACAAUCUUCAAACUCCUUGUCUUCAGGUUUCUGUUGUCACUUGUUGCCUUUACAGAUUGCCUCAGCAAUGGUGGUUCAAGGUUGUAAACCUCCCCAUUAUGCAGCUUCCUACUUAUUACUAUGUAACUUCCAUCAACAUCCAUUUCUCUUUGAUCAAUCUCUAUUACUCUUCCAUCUAUAUUCUGUUGUGAGUGACAAAUGCAGUUUCCCAUUGUGGAUGAUGGAAUGAACAAAAACUCUCAAACCUCACCAUUAUAUAUAGAAGUUUUGGUAAAGUUUCAAGUUUGAGGAAAUUUGAACGUGCAAGCCAUCACAAACAUAUAGGCUUUGCAGGCUUGAACUCCAUCUCUUCUAAAAUAUUGUGCUUAAAAAAGUCAGAACCCCAUUUAGCCUUCAUUUUAUAUUCUUUUUGUCAAAAGCAUAUACUCAAAUUUAACCCUACAUAAUAAAAAAGUAACAGCAAAAAUGUCAACCAUUAUGUUGAUAAAAAGGUCAACCUCAGUGAUGUCUGCACUUGUUUCUUUUCAAUUUUAUUGUUUGCAAAAGAUAUUUGUAUACUCAUAUUCACAAUGGCACAUUUCUUUUACAUUAAAGUAAGACAUUUUUAUACUCACUUACACUACUUAUGGUGUUGAUAUAGUUUGUUUCCCACGCUCUAGACAAUUGAAGGCUGGAAUAAUUUAAGAGUAAUACUACACUUGGUUCAUAGCAUUGGACUUGGUCUUGUCAAUGUUCAUCACUUUUCUGUGCCUAAAUAUUUAUGUUGGGACUAAAAGUUAACUUUCAAUGAAAUACAUAUUUAAGGUUUAAGCCAUAUAAAAAUGAGAGUAUUGAUAUGGCUUGCACGUUCAAAUUUCCCUCAACUUAAAAUUGACCAAAGCUUUAUAUAAUAGUUGCAGUUGAGAGAAACUUUGCUCUAUUGGAUCAUCCAUAAUGGAGAACUGUAUGACUUGUCAAGAAGCAAACCAUAACUCCGUUAGUUGAAAACAUGAACCAUGCUUCAUGUACAAGUUACAUAGUGCUCACUUGGAAGGUACAGAAUGAGGAGGUUCACCACCUUGCACCAUUCCUGUGGCAAUCUGUUAAGCUAACAACUGACAACAAAAGGGUGAGGACAAAGAAUGUGAAGUGUGUGGUUACUACAGAACAAUUGAAACUGCUGCUAAGUGGAGCAAACAAGUGACAAAUCGAAACUAGAAUAGCUGUUCUUGCCAACUAUAUAGAACCAUUAAAUCGUAGGAUGUUGCAAUUUAAGCUCUCUUAUCAUCAAUUGAGCAACUCGUUAUAUUAGUUUUCGAGUAACAACAUCCCCAGUAUAGUAGAAAAUUCAGUGUUUCAGCUCCUUUACUAUCAGUGUUCAUUUAACAAUAUCGGUAUCUUUCUUUGAAUCGAAUUUACUCUCAAGAUGUGUUGUCUACACUGAACAUUAAAAUGUUUAAUAUGUGACAUUUUCUUGGUUACAAGAAACUUUUGAUAAACAAAAAUUUCACACUGGCAGAAAUUUGAAUUUCCUUUUUUAAUAUUUCAACUAAAAUUGGAGGGUGCGCCAAGCCCAAGCUAUAGUGCAACGCUUGGGCGACACAUGAGAGACCCAAUAGCAAGCUACUGUGAUGGACUCUCCCCUUUAAAAAAGUAAUUUAAUAUCGUGUGGGCCAUUGGCCCACAUAUCAGAUAUUAAACUGAUAAGAACAGAUACUACACUUGAUCUUAGCCAAAA
Molecule: long non-coding RNA, 20280 nt
Filed under: Lupinus angustifolius (narrow-leaved blue lupine)
Lineage: Eukaryota; Viridiplantae; Streptophyta; Magnoliopsida; Fabales; Fabaceae
Description: long non-coding RNA (LANG_LNC000602)
Source: RNAcentral